UGGGGAAUAUCGCACAAUGGGCGCAAGCCUGAUGCAGCCAUGCCGCGUGUGUGAAGAAGGCCUUCGGGUUGUAAAGCACUUUCAGCGAGGAGGAAGGUGGUGAGCUUAAUACGCUCAUCAAUUGACGUUACUCGCAGAAGAAGCACCGGCUAACUCCGUGCCAGCAGCCGCGGUAAUACGGAGGGUGCAAGCGUUAAUCGGAAUUACUGGGCGUAAAGCGCACGCAGGCGGUUUGUUAAGUCAGAUGUGAAAUCCCCGGGCUCAACCUGGGAACUGCAUUUGAAACUGGCAAGCUAGAGUCUCGUAGAGGGGGGUAGAAUUCCAGGUGUAGCGGUGAAAUGCGUAGAGAUCUGGAGGAAUACCGGUGGCGAAAGGCGGCCCCCCUGGACGAAGACUGACGCUCAGGUGCGAAAGCGUGGGGCAGCAAACAGGAUUAGAUACCCUGGUAGUCCACGCUGU
RNAcentral lists this ribosomal RNA (459 nucleotides) under uncultured bacterium. RNAcentral's name for it is "partial 16S ribosomal RNA". It matches the Rfam family "Bacterial small subunit ribosomal RNA", at positions 355 to 803 of the family's 1533-position model. The record is from RNAcentral.